UACGUAGGUGGCAAGCGUUACUCGGAAUCACUAGGCGUAAAGCGCAGGUAGGAGGUUUAGUAAGUCUGUUGUGAAAGCUCCCGGCUUAACUGGGAGAGGUCAACGGAAACUGCUAGGCUAGAGUGCGGUAGAGGUAGCUGGAAUUCCCGGUGUAGCGGUGAAAUGCGUAGAUAUCGGGGGGAAUACCUAUGGCGAAAGCAGGCUACUGGACCGUCACUGACUCUGAUCUGCGAAAGCUAGGGGAGCAAACAGG
Molecule: ribosomal RNA, 253 nt
Filed under: uncultured bacterium
Lineage: Bacteria
Description: partial 16S ribosomal RNA
Rfam family: Bacterial small subunit ribosomal RNA
Source: RNAcentral